This 497-nucleotide ribosomal RNA is filed under the name uncultured bacterium. RNAcentral describes it as "partial 16S ribosomal RNA". It matches the Rfam family "Bacterial small subunit ribosomal RNA", at positions 28 to 507 of the family's 1533-position model. The record is from RNAcentral.
GAUGAACGCUGGCGGCGUGCCUAAUACAUGCAAGUCGAGCGAACAGACGAGGAGCUUGCUCCUCUGACGUUAGCGGCGGACGGGUGAGUAACACGUGGAUAACCUACCUAUAAGACUGGGAUAACUUCGGGAAACCGGAGCUAAUACCGGAUAAUAUAUUGAACCGCAUGGUUCAAUAGUGAAAGACGGUUUUGCUGUCACUUAUAGAUGGAUCCGCGCCGCAUUAGCUAGUUGGUAAGGUAACGGCUUACCAAGGCAACGAUGCGUAGCCGACCUGAGAGGGUGAUCGGCGACACUGGAACUGAGACACGGUCCAGACUCCUACGGGAGGCAGCAGUAGGGAAUCUUCGGCAAUGGGCGAAAGCCUGACGGAGCAACGCCGCGUGAGUGAUGAAGGUCUUCGGAUCGUAAAACUCUGUUAUUAGGGAAGAACAAAUGUGGAAGAAAAUAUGCACGUCUUGACGGUACCUAAUCAGUAAGCCACGGCUAACUACGUG